This 495-nucleotide ribosomal RNA is filed under the name uncultured Glomeromycotina. RNAcentral's name for it is "partial small subunit ribosomal RNA". It matches the Rfam family "Eukaryotic small subunit ribosomal RNA", at positions 591 to 1092 of the family's 1831-position model. Lineage: Eukaryota; Fungi; Glomeromycota. The record is from RNAcentral.
CCAAUAGCGUAUAUUAAAGUUGUUGCAGUUAAAAAGCUCGUAGUUGAAUUUUAGGCCUGACCGGACGGUCCGUCUCUGGCGAGUACUGUUCUGCUGUCGGGUCUAUCCUUCUGGUGAGCCGGUAUGCCCUUUAUUGGGUGUGUCGGGGAACCAGGACCAUUACCUUGAAAAAAUUAGAGUGUUUAAAGCGGGCUUUUGCUUGAAUAGAUUAGCAUGGAAUAAUAGAAUAGGACGUUGGUUCUAUUUUGUUGGUCUAGGACCACCGUAAUGAUUAAUAGGGAUAGUUGGGGGCAUUAGUAUUCAAUUGUCAGAGGUGAAAUUCUUGGAUUUAUUGAAGACUAACUACUGCGAAAGCAUUUGCCAAGGAUGUUUUCAUUAAUCAAGAACGAAAGUUAGGGGAUCGAAGACGAUCAGACACCGUCGUAGUCUUAACCAUAAACUAUGCCGACUAGGAAUCGGGCGACGUUAUUUUCAUGACUCGCUCGGCGCCUUAUG